RNAcentral lists this transfer RNA (61 nucleotides) under Taenia twitchelli. RNAcentral describes it as "tRNA-Cys". The record is from RNAcentral. Lineage: Eukaryota; Metazoa; Platyhelminthes; Cestoda; Cyclophyllidea; Taeniidae.
GAGUGUGAAGAUGUUAGUUUUGCAAAAACUAUUUAGAAUUUUUUUAUGAAUUCCAUACUUU